GGGCUCAUAGGUAAGUGGUAUACCGGCGCAUUCGCAUUGCGCAGUCCCGAGUUCGAUUCUCGGUGAGUCCA
Molecule: transfer RNA, 71 nt
Filed under: Candidatus Nomurabacteria bacterium RIFCSPHIGHO2_01_FULL_42_16
Lineage: Bacteria; Candidatus Nomuraibacteriota
Also listed under: 1 other name
Description: tRNA-Ala
Rfam family: tRNA
About the family: Transfer RNA (tRNA) molecules are approximately 80 nucleotides in length. Their secondary structure includes four short double-helical elements and three loops (D, anti-codon, and T loops).
Source: RNAcentral